Molecule: ribosomal RNA, 238 nt
Filed under: uncultured bacterium
Lineage: Bacteria
Description: partial 16S ribosomal RNA
Rfam family: Bacterial small subunit ribosomal RNA
Source: RNAcentral
CGGCACGGGUGGGUAACACGUAUCCAACCUGCCGUCUACUCUUGGCCAGCCUUCUGAAAGGAAGAUUAAUCCAGGAUGGCAUCAUGAGUUCACAUGUCCGCAUGAUUAAAGGUAUUUUCCGGUAGACGAUGGGGAUGCGUUCCAUUAGAUAGUAGGCGGGGUAACGGCCCACCUAGUCUACGAUGGAUAGGGGUUCUGAGAGGAAGGUCCCCCACAUUGGAACUGAGACACGGUCCAA